GGGUGAGUAACGCGUGGGUAACCUGCCUUGUACUGGGGGACAACAGUUGGAAACGACUGCUAAUACCGCAUAAGCGCACAGCUUCGCAUGAAGCGGUGUGAAAAACUCCGGUGGUACAAGAUGGACCCGCGUCUGAUUAGCUGGUUGGUGAGGUAACGGCCCACCAAGGCGACGAUCAGUAGCCGGCCUGAGAGGGUGAACGGCCACAUUGGGACUGAGACACGGCCCAAACUCCUACGGGAGGCAGCAGUGGGGAAUAUUGCACAAUGGGGGAAACCCUGAUGCAGCAACGCCGCGUGAGUGAAGAAGUAUUUCGGUAUGUAAAGCUCUAUCAGCAGGAAAGAAAAUGACGGUACCUGACUAAGAAGCCCCGGCUAACUACGUGCCAGCAGCCGCGGUAAUACGUAGGGGGCAAGCGUUAUCCGGAUUUACUGGGUGUAAAGGGAGCGUAGACGGUUUUGCAAGUCUGAAGUGAAAGCCCGGGGCUUAACCCCGGGACUGCUUUGGAAACUGUAGAACUAGAGUGCAGGAGAGGUAAGUGGAAUUCCUAGUGUAGCGGUGAAAUGCGUAGAUAUUAGGAGGAACACCAGUGGCGAAGGCGGCUUACUGGACUGUAACUGACGUUGAGGCUCGAAAGCGUGGGGAGCAAACAGGAUUAGAUACCCUGGUAGUCCACGCCGUAA
RNAcentral lists this ribosomal RNA (683 nucleotides) under uncultured bacterium. RNAcentral describes it as "bacterial SSU rRNA". It matches the Rfam family "Bacterial small subunit ribosomal RNA", at positions 104 to 805 of the family's 1533-position model. The record is from RNAcentral.